UACAGAGGGUGCAAGCGUUAUUCGGAAUUACUGGGCGUAAAGCGUGCGCAGGCGGUUCGUUAAGUCAGAUGUGAAAGCCCCGGGCUCAACCUGGGAACUGCAUUUGAAACUGGCGGGCUUGAGUGUGGCAGAGGGGGGUGGAAUUCCGCGUGUAGCAGUGAAAUGCGUAGAGAUGCGGAGGAACACCGAUGGCGAAGGCAGCCCCCUGGGCCAACACUGACGCUCAGGCACGAAAGCGUGGGGAGCAAACAGG
This 253-nucleotide ribosomal RNA is filed under the name uncultured bacterium. RNAcentral's name for it is "partial 16S ribosomal RNA". It matches the Rfam family "Bacterial small subunit ribosomal RNA", at positions 524 to 776 of the family's 1533-position model. The record is from RNAcentral.